GCAAGUCGAACGCAGUAGCAAUACUGAGUGGCAGACGGGUGAGUAUAAUGUGGGAAUCUGCCUUUUGGUUUGGAAUAACACGAGGAAACUUGUGCUAAUACCGGAUAAGCCUUAACAGGGAAAGUUUUAACGCCAAAAGAUGAGCCCGCACUUGAUUAGCUAGUUGGUAAGGUAAUGGCUUACCAAGGCAACGAUCAAUAGCUGUUCUUAGAGGAAGACC
This 220-nucleotide ribosomal RNA is filed under the name uncultured bacterium. RNAcentral's name for it is "partial 16S ribosomal RNA". It matches the Rfam family "Bacterial small subunit ribosomal RNA", at positions 57 to 305 of the family's 1533-position model. The record is from RNAcentral.